UACUCGGAUAAGCUCUUCCGCCGACUUCCUCUGGAAAAGAUCAUUUAAAAAAGUUUGACAGCGAUUUAUUUUUAUUUUUUUUUUUAGUCCGAUGUACACAGACACCGGAAUCGCAGUGUGACUGCAGAACAAGCUUUUAUCACAAAGGGGCACAAAUGAAGAUCCAUUUAUAAGUGAUUCAGCCUUUCUGGGAAAGAGUUAAGAACUAAAGAGAAAAUUGAAGUAUUGAAAUAGAAAAGUUUUUGUUUUGGAAUCACUCCUAAAGUGCUCCCGGCUAACUUCUAGCUGAAAGCUGGAUUUUGGAGACCAUAUGCAAUUCUAGAGAUUGAACUUUUGUGGGCUGCAUUCAAGGGAUCCCGGCAAGCUACUGAGGAUAUCCCUCCCGCAUGGCAGAACCUGGUAAGCUACCUGUGGUGUAUUU
Molecule: long non-coding RNA, 421 nt
Organism: Sorex araneus (European shrew)
Lineage: Eukaryota; Metazoa; Chordata; Mammalia; Eulipotyphla; Soricidae
Exons: 4
Source: RefSeq, a predicted model, not a curated record